UCUUUGGGAAUUCUCUGCUGCUGACGGACACUUGAUUCUCACUCUGGACCUUUAUUAUAUAUAUUAAAAUAUUUAUUCAAUGUGAUUUUAAAUAAAAACUCUGGAUUGUUCUACAUCUCUCUUCUUCUCACAGAUUCAGAUGGAGAAGAGAAAGAAAAUCACAUCCAGAAAACUGCUGGAGCCUCAGAAAUCACAGAGCAGCAGAAAACAAGAAGACAGAGAGAGAAAUGGAGACACAAACCAGUGGAUCACAAGAGAGAAGAGGACAGAGAGUUGAGAGACGUGGCAGUAUGGAAGUAAACUUACACUUGUCAUGUGAUCCAGACGAGCCUGUAAAGAUUGAUUCUGAUGUCAAAAGUGAGGAGAGAUUCUCCCAUCAAAACCUUCAUCACUGACGACCUGAACAUCACCAUCUUCAUCAUCACAACCAUCUUCAUCAUCAUCUUCAUCAUGGUCUGUUCUCUCCUGUCUUCUGGAAUCUUCUACAGACUCCUCUGAGCUCAAACACUCUCAUCAAGAGCUUCUUUCUCAGGAGGUUUACACAACACCGUUUUCAGCUGAAAGCUUUUAUUCAUUUUAGCUGUUCAUUUACACGAUAACGGUGUUCUGGUGGCCUGAAAACACAAACUUUUGAAAAAGGGUUUCAAAGUGCAAGUUUGUGAAAACGAUACCGUUAUCAUCUCCGUGUGAACUGAAAAAGGGAAUCUGUGAAACAGUGACGUCAUGCACGUUUAAUCUCUCCACAUUAUUUUUCAACCCUGAAAUAAGGUGUUUUCUGUGAAUGUCUGAGACUUCUGAUUUAUUAUCCGCUACAGGGAAAUAACCAGAAGAAUAUGAAGGAGCAGUAAACUGUAAAAAUAAGCUGGAUAGACGUGUGUGUUUGGAGUGAGUGUAAGAGAAUGUGUGUGUGAUCACCAAAUACUUGUCUGGCGUGUGUCAUACAGUGUUUUAGUCAUUUUUGUGGAUCCGUGUGAACGGAGAAAGUGUUGAUAAUGUUGUCAUCCGUAUAGAGAAAACACUUUUCCGUUUUUAGUACUGAACUCUCAUUGUUCUCCAUCUGCUCUAAAUGUUUCUCUGUCUCUGAUGAUGGUGAUUGAUGAUGUUCUGUAUAUCAGACUGUCAGACAUUCAGACUCUCUCUCACUCCUACAAACACUCAGUGUGUUCAGUUCACUGGAGCAGCAGGAGUUUGAUCGUCUGAAACUGAAGGAACGAGAAACUCCUCACAGAAACUCGAGACUUUCUUACUGUGAGACAUCAGCACUACCCUGAGAGACAUUUUAUUUGAUUCUGUAUACUGUACAUAUAUAUUUUAAUAUUCACUUUAUAUU
This is a long non-coding RNA of Megalobrama amblycephala (Wuchang bream), 1330 nucleotides long. RefSeq lists it as uncharacterized. The transcript has 3 exons. NCBI's taxonomy places the organism in Eukaryota, Metazoa, Chordata, Actinopteri, Cypriniformes, Xenocyprididae. The record is from RefSeq and is a predicted model, not a curated record.